RNAcentral lists this ribosomal RNA (634 nucleotides) under uncultured archaeon. Its description in RNAcentral is "bacterial SSU rRNA". It matches the Rfam family "Archaeal small subunit ribosomal RNA", at positions 796 to 1429 of the family's 1478-position model. The record is from RNAcentral.
UGGUGCCGCAGGGAAGCCGUGAAGCGAGCCACCUGGGAAGUACGGUCGCAAGGCUGAAGCUUAAAGGAAUUGGCGGGGGAGCACUACAACGGGUGGAGCCUGCGGUUUAAUUGGACUCAACGCCGGAAAACUCACCGGGGGCGACAGCAAUAUGUAGGUCAAGCUAAAGACUUUACCAGAAUCGCUGAGAGGAGGUGCAUGGCCGUCGUCAGUUCGUACUGUGAAGCAUCCUGUUAAGUCAGGCAACGAGCGAGACCCGUGCCCGCUGUUGUCAGCAUAUCCUUUGGGAUGAUGGGUACUCUGUGGGGACCGCCGAUGCUAAAUCGGAGGAAGGUGCGGGCUACGGUAGGUCAGUAUGCCCCGAAUCUCCCGGGCUACACGCGGGCUACAAUGACUGGGACAAUGGGCUCCUACCCCGAGAGGGGAUGGUAAUCUCAUAAACCCAGCCGUAGUUCGGAUCGAGGGCUGUAACCCGCCCUCGUGAAGCUGGAAUCCGUAGUAAUCGCGUUUCAACAUAGCGCGGUGAAUACGUCCCUGCUCCUUGCACACACCGCCCGUCAAACCACCCGAGUGAGGUAUGGGUGAGGGCAUGGACAAUGUGCUGUGUUCGAACCUAAAUUUUGCAAGGGGGGUU